RNAcentral lists this ribosomal RNA (253 nucleotides) under uncultured bacterium. Its description in RNAcentral is "partial 16S ribosomal RNA". It matches the Rfam family "Bacterial small subunit ribosomal RNA", at positions 524 to 776 of the family's 1533-position model. The record is from RNAcentral.
UACGGAGGGGGCUAGCGUUGUUCGGAAUUACUGGGCGUAAAGCGCACGUAGGCGGAUCAGAAAGUCAGAGGUGAAAUCCCAGGGCUCAACCUCGGAACUGCCUUUGAAACUCCUGGUCUUGAGGUCGAGAGAGGUGAGUGGAAUUCCGAGUGUAGAGGUGAAAUUCGUAGAUAUUCGGAGGAACACCAGUGGCGAAGGCGGCUCACUGGCUCGAUACUGACGCUGACUUCCCGAAGCGCGGCGAACAAACAGG